Molecule: long non-coding RNA, 847 nt
Organism: Microtus oregoni (creeping vole)
Lineage: Eukaryota; Metazoa; Chordata; Mammalia; Rodentia; Cricetidae
Exons: 3
Source: RefSeq, a predicted model, not a curated record
CAACAGACAGAGUGGAUCAUGCAGAAGGAAAAGUAAAACGCCAUGAGGUAAAAUGAAGAUGAAGAGGAGCAGGUUAAAGAAAAAAAGCUAGUCAUAAAUGGGCUAAAGCUAAAGUUGAGCAUGUCUAACCAAUAAUGUCUCCAUGUCUUGAUUUGGGAGCUGCUUGGUGACCCAGAAAAGCCGGAAGCUGCUGUGUGAGAACAGUGGCCAGCCCACCCUAGAUGCAAUAUCCAUGUGUCAGUCAAUCCUGUCAAGAGACAAGCCUCAGGGUGUGUUGCUGAAGAGGUGUCCAGGAUAGGUAAACGGACGUGAGAAGACCCACCCAACAUGUGGACAGCACCCGUCCGAGGGCUGGGGUCCUGGACUGAAUAACUAAUGAACUGGGACCGGCAUUCACCUCUCUGUGUAGACGCAAUGUGAUCAGUGGCUUCACACUCCUCCACGCCAUCCCUGUACCCUCAAGCAGAGUCCAGGUACUUGCUCCCUCCAGUGAGCUGUGGACCUUGCUGGGCUUCUGCCGCACUAUGAGAGGUCAUCACCCUCUCCAGCAGCCAUCUACUCUCUUCCCACAAGAUCCUAAGCCUGGAGAACUGGAACCAUUCUCCCAGCCCAGCAGUGCCAGGUGCCUUUCCUGUGCUCGGAACCCAGACCCUGCCUUGAUUCACUGUGGACGACACGGAAAGGGUGUCCUGUGAGGGCAGAGGACCAACAUGGAAACUAAAAGUCACCACGGCAACAGAAGCCAACGUUCUACAGCCUCAUCUUUACCUAUUGUCACAUCUCUCAUAGACAGUGCCAGAAUCUGACUGUCACAGGGACAGUGAUGACAUUUAUCCUCGAGAUAAAC